RNAcentral lists this long non-coding RNA (398 nucleotides) under Pan troglodytes (chimpanzee). RNAcentral's name for it is "long non-coding RNA NONPTRT003669". Lineage: Eukaryota; Metazoa; Chordata; Mammalia; Primates; Hominidae. The record is from RNAcentral.
UCUCCCAGCUCUUCCAAUGAGGAAGGAGGCUCCAGGAGGGCGGGAACACCAUUUCUCUGUUUAGCACUGUGCCCCAUAACGCAGCUCCCAGCACAUAGUAGGACCUUCAUAAGUGUUGAAUCCAUAAGUGUCUUCCAUAGGGACAAAGAAAAUGCAGAUAGUGAUGGCAGAACUGGGACUCAAACCUAGCUCUCUCUGGCUUUAAAGACAUGGUUCUGGCUGGGCACAAUGGCUCAUGCCUGUAAUCUCAGCACUUUGGGAGGGUGAGGGGGAGGACUGCUCUAGCCCAGUAGUUUGAGACCAGCCCGGGCAAUAUAGCCAGAUACCAUCUCUUAAAAAAAAAAAUGCUGGAUGUGGUGGUAGGUGCCUGUAGUCCCAGCCACCUGGGAGGCUGAAGC